GCCCGCUUGGCUCAGGGGUAAAGCGUCUCACUCGUAAGUUGUAAAACCUAUGUUAUGAGAAGAUCCGCGGUUCGAAUCCGCGAGUGGGCA
Non-coding RNA from Taxawa tesnikishii (nom. ined.), 90 nucleotides. The record is from the annotation of a GenBank genome assembly. Lineage: Eukaryota; Fungi; Ascomycota; Dothideomycetes; Dothideales.